CCUACGGGGGACAGCAGUGAGGAAUAUUGGUCAAUGGGCGGAAGCCUGAACCAGCCAAGUCGCGUGAGGGAAUAAGGCCCUACGGGUCGUAAACCUCUUUUGCCGGGGAGCAAGGGCGGGGACGUGUCCCGGCCCGGAGAGUACCCGGAGAAAAAGCAUCGGCUAACUCCGUGCCAGCAGCCGCGGUAAUAAGGAGGAUGAGAGCGUGAUCCGGAUUUAUUGGGUUUAAAGGGUGCGUAGGCGGGCGUUUAAGUCAGCGGUAAAAAUUCGGGGCUCAACCCCGUCCGGCCGUUGAAACUGGGGGCCUUGAGUGGGCUAGACGCAGGCGGAAUGCGUGGUGUAGC
Molecule: ribosomal RNA, 344 nt
Filed under: uncultured bacterium
Lineage: Bacteria
Description: partial 16S ribosomal RNA
Rfam family: Bacterial small subunit ribosomal RNA
Source: RNAcentral